Molecule: ribosomal RNA, 564 nt
Filed under: Enterobacter asburiae
Lineage: Bacteria; Pseudomonadati; Pseudomonadota; Gammaproteobacteria; Enterobacterales; Enterobacteriaceae
Description: bacterial SSU rRNA
Rfam family: Bacterial small subunit ribosomal RNA
Source: RNAcentral
GCGUAAGCGCACGCAGGCGGUCUGUCAAGUCGGAUGUGAAAUCCCCGGGCUCAACCUGGGAACUGCAUUCGAAACUGGCAAGCUAGAGUCUUGUAGAGGGGGGUAGAAUUCCAGGUGUAGCGGUGAAAUGCGUAGAGAUCUGGAGGAAUACCGGUGGCGAAGGCGGCCCCCUGGACUGAUACUGACGCUCAGGUGCGAAAGCGUGGGGAGCAAACAGGAUUAGAUACCCUGGUAGUCCACGCCGUAAACGAUGUCGACUUGGAGGUUGUGCCCUUGAGGCGUGGCUUCCGGAGCUAACGCGUUAAGUCGACCGCCUGGGGAGUACGGCCGCAAGGUUAAAACUCAAAUGAAUUGACGGGGGCCCGCACAAGCGGUGGAGCAUGUGGUUUAAUUCGAUGCAACGCGAAGAACCUUACCUACUCUUGACAUCCAGAGAACUUUCCAGAGAUGGAUUGGUGCCUUCGGGAACUCUGACACAGGUGCUGCAUGGCUGUCGUCAGCUCGUGUUGUGAGAUGUUGGGUUAAGUCCCGCAACGAGCGCAACCCUUAUCCUUUGUUGCCAGC